This 1000-nucleotide ribosomal RNA is filed under the name Rhytidhysteron neorufulum. RNAcentral's name for it is "SSU rRNA". It matches the Rfam family "Eukaryotic small subunit ribosomal RNA", at positions 93 to 1103 of the family's 1831-position model. The record is from RNAcentral. Lineage: Eukaryota; Fungi; Ascomycota; Dothideomycetes; Hysteriales; Hysteriaceae.
AUUGCUCAUAAAUCAGUAUCGUUUAUUUGAUAGUACCGUACUACUGGGAUAACCGUGGUAAUUCUAGAGCUAAUACAUGCUAAAAACCCCGACUUCGGGAGGGGUGUAUUUAUUAGAUAAAAAACCCAAUGCCUUCGGGGCUCCUUGGUGAAUCAUAAUAACUUAACGGAUCGCAUGGCCUUGCGCCGGCGACGGUUCAUUCAAAUUUCUGCCCUAUCAACUUUCGAUUGUAGGGUAUUGGCCUACAAUGGUAUCAACGGGUAACGGGGAAUUAGGGUUCGAUUCCGGAGAGGGAGCCUGAGAAACGGCUACCACAUCCAAGGAAGGCAGCAGGCGCGCAAAUUACCCAAUCCCGACACGGGGAGGUAGUGACAAUAAAUACUGAUACAGGGCUCUUUUGGGUCUUGUAAUUGGAAUGAGUACAAUUUAAAUCCCUUAACGAGGAACAAUUGGAGGGCAAGUCUGGUGCCAGCAGCCGCGGUAAUUCCAGCUCCAAUAGCGUAUAUUAAAGUUGUUGCAGUUAAAAAGCUCGUAGUUGAACCUUGGGUCUGGCUGGCCGGUCCGCCUCACCGCGUGCACUGGUCCGGCCGGACCUUUCCUUCUGGAGAACCGCAUGCCCUUCACUGGGUGUGCCGGGGAACCAGGACUUUUACUUUGAAAAAAUUAGAGUGUUCAAAGCAGGCCUUUGCUCGAAUACAUUAGCAUGGAAUAAUAGAAUAGGACGUGCGGUCCUAUUUUGUUGGUUUCUAGGACCGCCGUAAUGAUUAAUAGGGAUAGUCGGGGGCAUCAGUAUUCAAUUGUCAGAGGUGAAAUUCUUAGAUUUAUUGAAGACUAACUACUGCGAAAGCAUUUGCCAAGGAUGUUUUCAUUAAUCAGUGAACGAAAGUUAGGGGAUCGAAGACGAUCAGAUACCGUCGUAGUCUUAACCGUAAACUAUGCCGACUAGGGAUCGGGCGAUGUUAUUCUUUUGACUCGCUCGGCACCUUACGAGAAAUCAAAG